AUUGAACGCUGGCGGCAGGCCUAACACAUGCCAGUCGAACGGUAACAGGGAUCAGCUUGCUGAUUCGCUGACGAGUGGCGGACGGGUGAGUAAUGUCUGGGAAACUGCCUGAUGGAGGGGGAUAACUACUGGAAACGGUAGCUAAUACCGCAUAACGUCGCAAGCCCAAAGAGGGGGACCUUCGGGCCUCUUGCCAUCGGAUGUGCCCAGAUGGGAUUAGCUAGUAGGUGGGGUAACGGCUCACCUAGGCGACGAUCCCUAGCUGGUCUGAGAGGAUGACCAGCCACACUGGAACUGAGACACGGUCCAGACUCCUACGGGAGGCAGCAGUGGGGAAUAUUGCACAAUGGGCGCAAGCCUGAUGCAGCCAUGCCGCGUGUAUGAAGAAGGCCUUCGGGUUGUAAAGUACUUUCAGCGGGGAGGAAGGGAGUAAAGUUAAUACCUUUGCUCAUUGACGUUACCCGCAGAAGAAGCACCGGCUAACUCCGUG
RNAcentral lists this ribosomal RNA (490 nucleotides) under uncultured bacterium. Its description in RNAcentral is "partial 16S ribosomal RNA". It matches the Rfam family "Bacterial small subunit ribosomal RNA", at positions 30 to 507 of the family's 1533-position model. The record is from RNAcentral.